Phrynosoma platyrhinos (Desert horned lizard) is the source of this 73-nucleotide non-coding RNA. NCBI's taxonomy places the organism in Eukaryota, Metazoa, Chordata, Lepidosauria, Squamata, Phrynosomatidae. The record is from the annotation of a GenBank genome assembly.
GCCCAGUGUGGUGUAGUGGUUUGAGCAUUGGACUGUGACUCUGAAGACCAGGGUUCAAGUCUCCAAUUGGCCA